GGUCAAGCAAUAAAGGGUUUACGGUGGAUGCCUUGGUGAAAGUUGCUGAUGAAGGACGUGGUAAGCUGCGAUAAGCCUCGUUUAGCUGCAAACAAGCAUUAAAACGGGGAUUUCCGAAUGGGGAAACCUAUUAGAAGUAAUGUUCUAAUACUUAUACUUGAAUUCAUAGAGUAUAAGGGACAACCGAGGGAAGUGAACCAUCUCAGUACCUCGAGGAAAAGAAAACAAAAGUGUGAUUCCGUAAGUAGUGGCGAGCGAACGCGGAAGAGCCUAAACUUUUUACAUGUAAGCCUAUACGCGUUGUGUAGAAAGGGUUAUAGGGUUUAAGAAGGACAAAGUAUAGCGAGUCCGAAGAAGGUUGUAUCUUAACUGAAUAGCACUGGAAAGGUUAGCCAAAGAAGGUGAAAGCCCUGUAAGUGAAAAGAUAUAACUAACUUUGUCUUAAAUUCCUGAGUAGGAUGGGACACGAGAAAUCCUGUCUGAAGUUGGGAGGACCAUCUUCCAAGGCUAAAUACAAACUUUCAACCGAUAGUGAACAAGUACUGUGAAGGAAAGGCGAAAAGAACUCCGAGAGGAGAGUGAAAUAGAACCUGAAACCGUAAACUUACAAGCGGUAGGAGCACUAUGCUUGAAGUUAGUUUACUAAUUUCAAGAAUGUGUGACUGCGUGCCUUUUGUAUAAUGAACCGGCGAGUUAUUGAAUGUUGCAAGGUUAAGUAUCUAAGGUAUGGAGCCGUAGCGAAAGCGAGUCUUAAAAGGGCGAUAAGUAGCAUUUAAUAGACCCGAAGCUGAGUGAUCUAUCCAUGGCCAGGGUGAAACGUAUGUAAAAGUACGUGGAGGUCCGAACCUGCGGGCGUUGAAAAGUCUUGGGAUGAGUUGUGGAUAGGAGUGAAAGGCUAAUCAAACUCAGUGAUAGCUGGUUCUCCCCGAAAUAGCUUUAGGGCUAGCCUCAUAAGUUUUGUGAUAGUGGUAGAGCACUGGAUGGCUUAGGGGUAUUAACCAUGCUUCCAAACCCAACCAAACUCCGAAUGCUGUCACAUUUAAUUAUGGGAGUCAGUCUAUGGGGGAUAAGCUUCAUAGACAAGAGGGAAACAGCCCAGACCAUUAGCUAAGGUCUCAAAAUUUGAACUAAGUGGUAAAGGCAGUAAAACUACAUAGACACCCAGGAUGUUGGCUUAGAAGCAGCUACCAUUUAAAGAGUGCGUAAUAGCUCACUGGACAAGCAGUUUUGCGCCGAAAAUAUAACGGGGCUCAAGUUCAAUACCGAAGCUAUGGAUUUUAAUAAUUAAUAAUUUUAAUAAUUAAUAAAUUAUUAAAAUGGUAGGGGAGCGUUCCAUAGUAGGUAGAAGGUAGACCGUAAGGACUACUGGACGAGAUGGAAGUGAGAAUGCCGGUAUGAGUAACGAAAAAACAGGUGAAAAACCUGUUCACCGAAAGUCUAAGGUUUCCGUGAGCAAGGUUAAUCCGCUCAGGGUAAGUCGGGCCUAAGUUGAGGCCGAAAGGCGUAGACGAUGGACAAUCGGUUAAAAUUCCGAUACCACCUUUAAUCGUUAUGAGCAAUGGGAUGACACAGGAGGAUAGGUCAGCCUGCUGUUGGAUUAGCAGGUUUAAACUCGUAGAGGAGCUUUUUAGGUAAAUCCGGAAAGCUAUUAACCUUGAGAAGUGAAGAGGAUCUUUCUUCGGAGAGAGAACUGAUUGAUUCCAAGCUGGCAAGAAAAGUCUCUAGCCAGAUUAAGGGUGCCCGUACCGUAAACCGACACAGGUAGACAAGGAGAAUAUCCUAAGGUGCUCGAGAGAACUCUCGUUAAGGAACUCGGCAAAUUAGCUCUGUAACUUCGGGAGAAAGAGUGCCCCGAGUAAGUGAGAAGAUUUACUCUUUAAGCUGAAAAGGGUUGCAGUGAAAUGGCCCAGGCGACUGUUUACUAAAAACACAGGUCUCUGCUAAGUCGUAAGACGAUGUAUAGGGGCUGACGCCUGCCCGGUGCUGGAAGGUUAAGAGGAGAAGUUAGCUCUUAGUUUUAAGGGCGAAGCCUUGAAUUGAAGCCCCAGUAAACGGCGGCCGUAACUAUAACGGUCCUAAGGUAGCGAAAUUCCUUGUCGGGUAAGUUCCGACCCGCAUGAAUGGCGUAACGAUCUGGGCGCUGUCUCAACGAGAGACUCGGUGAAAUUGUAGCAUGAGUGAAGAUGCUCAUUACCCACGACUAGACGGAAAGACCCCGUGAACCUUUACUAUAACCUGAGAUUGAAUUUGGAUGUGGUAUGUAGAGAAUAGGUGGGAGGCAGUGAAACCGGAUCGCUAGGUCCGUGGAGCCAAUCGUGGAAUACCACCCUUAGUAUAUCUAUAUUCUAACCUGCUCCUGUUUAUCCAGGAGAGAGACAGUCUUUGGUGGGUAGUUUGACUGGGGCGGUCACCUCCUAAAAAGUAACGGAGGUAUACAAAGGUUUCCUCAGUGUGUUUGGUAAUCACACAUAGAGCGUAAAGGUAUAAGGAAGCCUAACUGCGAGACAUACAAGUCAAGCAGGUGCGAAAGCAGGUCUUAGUGAUCCGGUGGUUCUGUAUGGAAAGGCCAUCGCUCAAUGGAUAAAAGGUACUCCGGGGAUAACAGGCUUAUCUCCCCCAAGAGUUCACAUCGACGGGGAGGUUUGGCACCUCGAUGUCGGCUCAUCGCAUCCUGGGGCUGAAGAAGGUCCCAAGGGUUUGUCUGUUCGCCAAUUAAAGCGGUACGUGAGCUGGGUUUAGAACGUCGUGAGACAGUUCGGUCCCUAUCUGUCGUGGGCGUUGGAUAUUUGAAGAGGAGCUGUCCAUAGUACGAGAGGACCUGGAUGGACAAACCUCUAGUGUACCAGUUGUCUCGCCAGAGGCAUUGCUGGGUAGCUAUGUUUGGAAUGGAUAACCGCUGAAAGCAUCUAAGUGGGAAGCCAACCUCAAGAUUAGAUAUCCCUCCACUUAAGUGGACUAAAGAUUACUGGAAGAUUACCAGUUUGAUAGGUUGCAGGUGUAAGUAUGGUAACAUAUUAAGCUGAGCAAUACUAAUAAAUCGUGAGGCUUGACCAU
RNAcentral lists this ribosomal RNA (3054 nucleotides) under bacterium. RNAcentral's name for it is "23S ribosomal RNA". It matches the Rfam family "Bacterial large subunit ribosomal RNA". The record is from RNAcentral.